RNAcentral lists this ribosomal RNA (479 nucleotides) under uncultured bacterium. RNAcentral's name for it is "bacterial SSU rRNA". It matches the Rfam family "Bacterial small subunit ribosomal RNA", at positions 30 to 539 of the family's 1533-position model. The record is from RNAcentral.
UGAACGCUAGCGGCAGGCCUAAUACAUGCAAGUCGAACGGUGCAGCAAUGCAUAGUGGCAGACGGGUGCGUAACGCGUAUGCAACCUACCCCGGAUCGGGGAACAACUUCGCGAAAGUGGAGCUAAUACCGCGUAACAUUGCGGGGAGGCAUCUCCUGGCAAUUAAACUUACGGGGAUCCGGGAUGGGCAUGCGUCUGAUUAGCUAGUUGGUGAGGUAACGGCUCGCCAAGGCGACGAUCAGUAGGGGAACUGAGAGGUUGAUCCCCCACACUGGCACUGAGAUACGGGCCAGACUCCUACGGGAGGCAGCAGUAGGGAAUAUUGGGCAAUGGGGGAAACCCUGAUCUAGCCAUGCCGCGUGAUCGAUGAAGGCCUUAGGGUUGUAAAGAUCUUUCAGGUGGGAAGAUAAUGACUGUACCACUAGAAGAAGCCCCGGCUAACUCCGUGCCAGCAGCCGCGGUAAUCUGAUGGCGCGAGG